This is a non-coding RNA of Callithrix jacchus (white-tufted-ear marmoset), 1796 nucleotides long. The record is from RefSeq and is a predicted model, not a curated record. NCBI's taxonomy places the organism in Eukaryota, Metazoa, Chordata, Mammalia, Primates, Cebidae.
CAAAAACAUACAUUAAUACACAUUGCUGCUGCCCUUGGACUUGCAGAGUUUAAGUCAUUUCUUCCCUACAGUGGGGAUGGAAUUCACCUAACACCUACUCAACCUACUAAACCCAGGCCCAGACUUCUGCCAGGCCUACAGACAGAGCCCAGGAUAAAGAGCCAAGGGUCUGGCCUGUCUUGAGGCCCACGGAUGUGCGCUCUGCAGGUGGAAUGGCCGCCCAGUGCUUACUUUGACUGCCCGCGGGUCCCGAGUCUUCUGGUCGUUAACUGAGGAAACUGCUGCCUUAUGAUCUGCAAGUCAACAGAAGAAUCAGUUACCAACUGGGAAGAGUUGGGAGCACAGUGACUGAGUUUUACAAACAGCCACCUACAGAAGGGAGGAAAACAUAGAUCCUUGGUUGCAAUGAAUUAUUAAAAGUCUGUGAAGACCCUGGAGAAGACUACUGGUGUCAGAGUAGGGCAUGCUUGGAUGGUUGUGGGGCUCUAGAUACUAAGGGGGUCUCACUUGGCCACUCUGUGCUUCACCCCCUCCUACUUACGAUGGAAGGAGAGUUCUAGUUGGUCCAGAACGUGCCACUCCCCUAUUUAAAACCCUCCAAUGGCUUCCAUGGCACCUGGAACUAAAACCCACACUUAGCCUCUGUAACUCAAGCUGCUUACCUUCUGGUCUUCCUCUCUUACAGUUCUCACCUUUACUCACCAGAUCCCAGCCACGCUGGCUUUUUAUUGUUUUCUCUAUUACAAAUACACCGGCAUUGCUCCUCACUGGGGGCCUUUGCACUUCAGCCAGGAGUGGAAUUUCACUCAGCUCUUCACAAGACUGACUCCUCUUUUUUUGUUUCUUGUUUUUAAUUGUACUUUAAGUUCUGGGUACAUGUACAGAUCAUGCAAAAUCGUUGCAUAGGUACAUACAUGGCAAGGUGGUUUGCUGCCUUUAUCCCCCUCAUCACCUAUAUCUGGUAUUUCUCACCUCAUUAUCCCUCCCCACCUUCCCCACCCACUCUGUCCCUCCCCUAGCCCCCCACCUACUGACUGCACUGUGUGAUGCUCCUUUCCCUGUGUCCAUGUGUUCUAAUUGUUCAAGACUGCCUCCUCUUAAAUCAUUCAGGUGUCUAGACAAUGUCCUUCUGCCCAGAGGCCUUCUCGGACCAGCCAGUGUAGAGUAGCACAAGGGUCGUAUGGCCCUGCUUUGUCUUCUUAUCACCUAGCACUAUCUGAAGUUAUCUUGCUCACUUGCUCUUUGGGUGCUUAGUUUAUGUCCUCUAUUCCUACUUGUACACAUGCUCCAUGAGAGCAGGGAACUCAUACAGGGUUUGGCACAAGCGAAGACCUCAAUCCAUAUUUGCUGAAUGAAGGAAUGAAAACUUGAAGGUAUCUUUUAUCUGUCUGCAGAGAAGAGGAUGAUAAUCGCUGUUGCUCCAGAAAACCACACCAAUUCACAAGAAAUCCGGGAAGAGAGAGCAUCUCUCAAGGUGAAGACAUAACCAUGGGGCCCCUUUCCUUGGGAUUUAUAGAGAUGACGUUUGUGGAGAGGUAUGACAGUGCAGGGGUUACUUGCAGGAACUCUGGAACUCGACUACCUGAAUUAAAUCCAAGCUCAGUCAUUGGUUAAGCUGGGUGCCCUUGGGCAAGUUAUUUAAUAGCCAUGUGACUCAGUUUCCCCAUUUGUAAAAUGGGAAUGAUAAUAACCUCUAGAGAAUCAUUAUGAAAUUUUAAAAAGUGAAUGUAUGUAAAUAAUUUGCAGCAGUGCCUGGCACUUAGUAAGUACUUACAAAAUGUUACCCAUUAUUACCA